Molecule: ribosomal RNA, 468 nt
Filed under: uncultured bacterium
Lineage: Bacteria
Description: partial 16S ribosomal RNA
Rfam family: Bacterial small subunit ribosomal RNA
Source: RNAcentral
GGCGAACGCUGGCGGCGUGCUUAACACAUGCAAGUCGAACGGAAAGGCCCUGCUUUUGUGGGGUGCUCGAGUGGCGAACGGGUGAGUAACACGUGAGUAACCUGCCCUUGACUUUGGGAUAACUUCAGGAAACUGGGGCUAAUACCGGAUAGGAGCUCCUGCUGCAUGGUGGGGGUUGGAAAGUUUCGGCGGUUGGGGAUGGACUCGCGGCUUAUCAGCUUGUUGGUGGGGUAGUGGCUUACCAAGGCUUUGACGGGUAGCCGGCCUGAGAGGGUGACCGGCCACAUUGGGACUGAGAUACGGCCCAGACUCCUACGGGAGGCAGCAGUGGGGAAUAUUGCACAAUGGGCGGAAGCCUGAUGCAGCAACGCCGCGUGCGGGAUGACGGCCUUCGGGUUGUAAACCGCUUUCGCCUGUGACGAAGCGAGAGUGACGGUAAUGGGUAAAGAAGCACCGGCUAACUACGUG